UCUCCCAAUUUAGUACUUGCAUAGCAAGGAAACAUAAAAUGUUUGAGAUCCAUUCGCUUCUUUCGAGAAAACAUUUCGAAGACACUGAAACAGAGGAGAGAAGUUGUGAGGCCAUGGGUAGAGGGAAUGCAGCCAGGCCUGCUGAACAUAUCCAGCAUUUUCUGUUUUUGCUGGCAAAUAGUUGGUGCUUUAUGGAAUGAUACUGCAGAAACGAGAGCUGGAGAGACACUCGGAGCAUAAGGGAAAUUUAUCCAAGAAAAGAAAUUGGCAACCUCAUCCUUGCAAAUUUACAUUAACAAACACCUACAAAUUUCACUGCCAGCAAUCUGAAACAGAAGCAGCAAUUUACCAACCUAUAAGAUUCGGACUGGCCUUGAUUGAGAACCUGCAAUCCAACAGAUGAAACAUAAUUCCCGUUGAAAGUUGGACUGAGAUUGACUUUGACAUUUCUGUGAUCUCCACUCAACAGACAAUUGCACGAUAACACAGCCAAACAGAAAAAUGUUUAGACCAUCACAUUGCUGUGUGACUAAAAAGUCUCACACUCAUAAUUUAGCUGGUGUUCUAGAGGAAAUGAAGAGAUUGCUACCUUCAGUGAGAGCUAGAUGAUGGAAAAAUGUACAAUUAAUGCCUAACCCCAUGGACUAACUGGAGAACAGUCAAUAUUGUUUCAAUUUAUUUGUGAAAUAUUGAAAAGAAAUGUAUGGGAUUUUCUGGAUGAUAAUAUCAAUGGUUCUGCCAGAAUAGUUCAAAACAAUAAGGGCUUUUUACUUCCAUAAAUUGGUUUGCAGCCAUUAUUAGUUUUGCCAUUUUCAUCUGAGAGAUCGCUAUCCCUAUUUAACAUGUUUUUCUGGAGCAAUUUAAGUCUAAAAAUACUAAAGGAAAUUUGGCAGACUAAACUGAAUUGCUUUACAGUUGGUGCCAAUCUAGGCACAAGUCCACUCACACUCUCUAAUGCCUCAUUUAAUUUCAGUCUCUGGGCUCUGUUAAAAUUCUUCCCCAAAUCCAAUACAAAUGUCCUCAUUGUUCCAGAUUCCUUUCCUCUUACAGAGCAGACCUCAAAUAUCCUCACUUCUUUCCUGCUCUGUAACUAAGUCAACCCACUCACUCAUUCAUAUGUUAAACAUGCAUAAUGGGCCUUCACAUUAAUUAACUAAUUUCAGGCCUUUAUGGUGAUGCAGAGAGUUUUCAAUCUCCCCUGUGUCUUUCAGACCAAUUGAACUGGGUGAAUAGUCUGAAUAAUAGAAGGAAGAAAAAGUAAGCAGCCUCAGUGUUCUGCUCGGCUCUUGCUUUUAUGCUACUUGAGGGGGAAGGGCCAAAAUAUCAUCAGCAAUUCUAAUGCUUUGCAGCAGCGGAUGGGAACCAACUCUGAGGGCCUGCAGAUUAAUUUGUGUCAGAUGUUGUGCCUGACAAAAAUGGGGGAGAAAAGAGUUCACAUUUAAACAUACCAAUGCAGACUGAUGGUCAAGGACUUUCUUUCACUGAAGAAUAUUUCUUAAACACUAUCUAAACGCUAUCCUUUGAAUGGAAAAU
Molecule: long non-coding RNA, 1533 nt
Organism: Stegostoma tigrinum
Lineage: Eukaryota; Metazoa; Chordata; Chondrichthyes; Orectolobiformes; Stegostomatidae
Exons: 3
Source: RefSeq, a predicted model, not a curated record